UUCUCCCUUAACUCAGCUGGUAGAGUGAACGACUGUUAAUCGUUAUGUCGCAGGUUCGAGCCCUGCAGGGAGAGU
RNAcentral lists this transfer RNA (75 nucleotides) under compost metagenome. Its description in RNAcentral is "tRNA-Asn". It matches the Rfam family "tRNA". From Rfam's summary of the family: Transfer RNA (tRNA) molecules are approximately 80 nucleotides in length. Their secondary structure includes four short double-helical elements and three loops (D, anti-codon, and T loops). Further hydrogen bonds mediate the characteristic L-shaped molecular structure. tRNAs have two regions of fundamental functional importance: the anti-codon, which is responsible for specific mRNA codon recognition, and the 3' end, to which the tRNAs corresponding amino acid is attached (by aminoacyl-tRNA synthetases). tRNAs cope with the degeneracy of the genetic code in two manners: having more than one tRNA (with a specific anti-codon) for a particular amino acid; and 'wobble' base-pairing, i.e. permitting non-standard base-pairing at the 3rd anti-codon position. The record is from RNAcentral.